This 496-nucleotide ribosomal RNA is filed under the name uncultured bacterium. Its description in RNAcentral is "partial 16S ribosomal RNA". It matches the Rfam family "Bacterial small subunit ribosomal RNA", at positions 28 to 506 of the family's 1533-position model. The record is from RNAcentral.
GAUGAACGCUGGCGGCGUGCCUAAUACAUGCAGGUCGAGCGAACGGACGAGAAGCUUGCUUCUCUGAUGUUAGCGGCGGACGGGUGAGUAACACGUGGAUAACCUACCUAUAAGACUGGGAUAACUUCGGGAAACCGGAGCUAAUACCGGAUGAUAUUUUGAACCGCAUGGUUCAAAAGUGAAAGACGGUCUUGCUGUCACUUAUAGAUGGAUCCGCGCUGCAUUAGCUAGUUGGUAAGGUAACGGCUUACCAAGGCAACGAUGCAUAACCGACCUGAGAGGGUGAUCGGCCACACUGGAACUGAGACACGGUCCAGACUCCUACGGGAGGCAGCAGUAGGGAAUCUUCCGCAAUGGGCGAAAGCCUGACGGAGCAACGCCGCGUGAGUGAUGAAGGUCUUCGGAUCGUAAAACUCUGUUAUUAGGGAAGAACAUAUGUGUAAGUAACUGUGCACAUCUUGACGGUACCUAAGCAGAAAGCCACGGCUAACUACGU